GCCCCCCGGCCCGGGAUAGCCCAGGGAAACCUGGAUUAAUACCGGAUGAGACGGGACCCGCGAAAGGCGGGACCCGGGAAAGGCGCUGCGGCGCCGCCGGGGGGAUGAGUCUGCGUCCCAUUAGCUAGACGGCGGGGUAACGGCCCACCGUGGCGACGAUGGGUGGCCGGCCUGAGAGGGUGGACGGCCACAUUGGAACUGAGACACGGUCCAGACUCCUACGGGAGGCAGCAGCUAAGAAUCUUCCGCAAUGGGCGAAAGGCCUGACGGAGCCGACGCCGCGUGAACGAAGAAGGCCGUGAGGUUGUAAAGUUCUUUUCGGGAGGGGGAACAACCGUGGCAGGGAAUGGCCGCGGGAUGACGUGAAUCCCGGAAUAAGCCCCGGCUAACUACGUGCCAGCAGCCGC
RNAcentral lists this ribosomal RNA (407 nucleotides) under uncultured bacterium. RNAcentral's name for it is "bacterial SSU rRNA". It matches the Rfam family "Bacterial small subunit ribosomal RNA", at positions 128 to 518 of the family's 1533-position model. The record is from RNAcentral.